This 211-nucleotide unclassified non-coding RNA is filed under the name soil metagenome. RNAcentral describes it as "partial contains 5.8S ribosomal RNA, internal transcribed spacer 2, and large subunit ribosomal RNA". The record is from RNAcentral.
AACUGAUACUACCUGCGGGAACCUGCGGAAGGAUCAUUACCGAGUUAUACAACUCAUCAACCCUGUGAACAUACCUAUAACGUUGCCUCGGCGGGAACAGACGGCCCCGUAACACGGGCCGCCCCCGCCAGAGGACCCCCUAACUCUGUUUCUAUAAUGUUUCUUCUGAGUAAACAAGCAAAUAAAUUAAAACUUUCAACAACGGAUCUCU